AUGGGGGAAACCCUGACGCAGCAACGCCGCGUGGGCGACGAAGGUCUUCGGAUUGUAAAGCCCUGUCUUCUGGGACGAUAAUGACGGUACCAGAGGAGGAAGCCACGGCUAACUACGUGCCAGCAGCCGCGGUAAUACGUAGGUGGCAAGCGUUGUCCGGAAUUACUGGGCGUAAAGGGUGCGUAGGCGGAUAUUUAAGUGGGAUGUGAAAUACCUGAGCUCAACUCGGGUGCUGCAUUCCAAACUGGAUAUCUAGAGUGCAGGAGAGGAGAAUGGAAUUCCUAGUGUAGCGGUGAAAUGCGUAGAGAUUAGGAAGAACACCAGUGGCGAAGGCGAUUCUCUGGACUGUAACUGACGCUGAGGCACGAAAGCGUGGGUAGCAAACAGGAUUAGAUACCCUGGUAGUCCACGCCGUAAACUAUGAAUACUAGGUGUAGGGGGGAACCUCCCUCUGUGCCGCAGUUAACACAAUAAGUAUUCCGCCUGGGGAGUA
Molecule: ribosomal RNA, 493 nt
Filed under: uncultured bacterium
Lineage: Bacteria
Description: bacterial SSU rRNA
Rfam family: Bacterial small subunit ribosomal RNA
Source: RNAcentral